AUCGCUUCUCGGCCUUUUGGCUGAGAUCAAGUGAAGUAAGUAUUUUCAAUGAAGUCAAUGAAUGUUAUAUCUGAUUUAUAUACAAAUGGAUGAACAUAAUUUUUGUAGAGAAAAAAUCUU
This 120-nucleotide small nuclear RNA is filed under the name Rhinolophus ferrumequinum (greater horseshoe bat). RNAcentral describes it as "U2 spliceosomal RNA (ENSRFEG00010005415.1)". It matches the Rfam family "U2 spliceosomal RNA". From Rfam's summary of the family: U2 is a small nuclear RNA (snRNA) component of the spliceosome (involved in pre-mRNA splicing). Complementary binding between U2 snRNA (in an area lying towards the 5' end but 3' to hairpin I) and the branchpoint sequence (BPS) of the intron results the bulging out of an unpaired adenosine, on the BPS, which initiates a nucleophilic attack at the intronic 5' splice site, thus starting the first of two transesterification reactions that mediate splicing. Lineage: Eukaryota; Metazoa; Chordata; Mammalia; Chiroptera; Rhinolophidae. The record is from Rfam by way of RNAcentral.